UCCGUAGGCGGGCGUCUAAGUCAGUGGUGAAAUCUUACAGCUCAACUGUAAAAUUGCCAUUGAUACUGGAUGUCUUGAAUUAGUGUGAAGUGGUUAGAAUGUGUAGUGUAGCGGUGAAAUGCAUAGAUAUUACACAGAAUACCAAUUGCGAAGGCAGAUCACUAACACUAUAUUGACGCUGAGGGACGAAAGCGUGGGGAGCGAACAGGAUUAGAUACCCGAGUAGUCC
This 229-nucleotide ribosomal RNA is filed under the name uncultured bacterium. RNAcentral describes it as "partial 16S ribosomal RNA". It matches the Rfam family "Bacterial small subunit ribosomal RNA", at positions 568 to 796 of the family's 1533-position model. The record is from RNAcentral.